This is a non-coding RNA of Vicia faba (fava bean), 225 nucleotides long. NCBI's taxonomy places the organism in Eukaryota, Viridiplantae, Streptophyta, Magnoliopsida, Fabales, Fabaceae. The record is from the annotation of a GenBank genome assembly.
AUGAAACAGUGUCUAAAAUUGUUCAAAUUCAUCUCAUUUUUCCCUCCCAAUUCAACCCCUCAUGCUUCAAUAAAACCAGAAGACAGUAGAAAGAAAAAAGGAGGAGACGGUGAUACCAAUACACUUAUAGAAAAGCUACACAAAGAAUUCACUCCAAAAACCUCUCUUUCAUAUUUUUCUCUUUUCAAAAUAUCAAUAUCUUUUCUCAUUUUUUCUAGCUGUUAA